GUCGAGCGGACAGAUGGGAGCUUGCUCCCUGAUGUUAGCGGCGGACGGGUGAGUAACACGUGGGUAACCUGCCUGUAAGACUGGGAUAACUCCGGGAAACCGGGGCUAAUACCGGAUGGUUGUUUGAACCGCAUGGUUCAGACAUAAAAGGUGGCUUCGGCUACCACUUACAGAUGGACCCGCGGCGCAUUAGCUAGUUGGUGAGGUAACGGCUCACCAAGGCGACGAUGCGUAGCCGACCUGAGAGGGUGAUCGGCCACACUGGGACUGAGACACGGCCCAGACUCCUACGGGAGGCAGCAGUAGGGAAUCUUCCGCAAUGGACGAAAGUCUGACGGAGCAACGCCGCGUGAGUGAUGAAGGUUUUCGGAUCGUAAAGCUCUGUUGUUAGGGAAGAACAAGUGCCGUUCAAAUAGGGCGGCACCUUGACGGUACCUAACCAGAAAGCCACGGCUAACUACGUGCCAGCAGCCGCGGUAAUACGUAGGUGGCAAGCGUUGUCCGGAAUUAUUGGGCGUAAAGGGCUCGCAGGCGGUUUCUUAAGUCUGAUGUGAAAGCCCCCGGCUCAACCGGGGAGGGUCAUUGGAAACUGGGGAACUUGAGUGCAGAAGAGGAGAGUGGAAUUCCACGUGUAGCGGUGAAAUGCGUAGAGAUGUGGAGGAACACCAGUGGCGAAGGCGACUCUCUGGUCUGUAACUGACGCUGAGGAGCGAAAGCGUGGGGAGCGA
RNAcentral lists this ribosomal RNA (728 nucleotides) under Bacillus sp. J1V1. RNAcentral describes it as "bacterial SSU rRNA". It matches the Rfam family "Bacterial small subunit ribosomal RNA", at positions 61 to 771 of the family's 1533-position model. The record is from RNAcentral. Lineage: Bacteria; Bacillati; Bacillota; Bacilli; Caryophanales; Bacillaceae.